UCUGGUUUGAAUACUUCUGGAUUUUCCCAUUUGUUUGGAUCUCGUCCUAUCGCCCAAGCAUUCACAAGGAUGCUUGUCUUUUCUUCUACAUCAUAAUCAUUUAUUUGACAUUUCUCCCUACAUUCAUGAGGAGCGAGAAGUGGCACAGGUGGAUGGAGCCUCAAGGUUUCUUUGAUGACGUUUUGCAUGUAGCUCAUUUCCUUGCUAAAAGAAUUAUCAUAAUCAUCAGCUUCUGUACCGAUUAUUUUAAAGGUUUUUCUCACCUCAGAUGUCACUUUCUUCAUGGUUUCUGGAUUUUUCACCAACUCAGAUAUUACCCAUUCUAGUGUUGUGGAAGUUGAUUCUGUUCCCGCAAUGAAAAUGUCCUAAAAAUACCAAUUGAAAAAUGAUUUAUAGUGUUUCAAGGAAAUACGUACAUAUAGAUCGACUUUAAUUUUGAGUUAUAAAAAAUGAUCAACUUACCAACAUUAUCGCCUUCAAAUUACUCAUAGUAAAUUCAAAGCCAGAUUCAUUCUUCUUUUGAAUUUUGAGAAGAAUAUCAAGAAAAUCUUCAUCUUCAUCUGCUACCCCAUUUUUGUUAUUUUUUGAUUUCUCAAGAUGUUCAUCUACGACUGUAUUUAGAAUAUGAUCAUUUGUCCUAUACGUCUUUUCCGCUUUUUUCCUCAAACCAGUCAACCAAACGAUGAAUUUCUCCACAGCAGGAAAGUAAUUAGAAAUGUUGAAAUCAACUACAAGAUCAAUAGAUUCCUUCAUUGAAACCAGAAAUGCCUCCUUUUGUCUAAGGUUAUUGCCAAACCCAGCACGGCUGGCGAUGUUGUUGUUAAGAGAAAGAAACAUUUCACUUAGAUUAACUGGAGUACCGUUGGUUGCAGCUUUUGUAAGAACGUGCAUCAUUUCGCAUACUUCUUCUCUUCUCAAUCUGUUAAAAGACUUCACCUUUUUAGCACUGAGAAGCUCAAGAGUGACGAUCUUUCUCAUUUGCCUCCAGUAUUCUCCAUAAGGUGCUAGAAAAAUAUCGGUAUUGUUGUACAUAAUAAUUCUAGCCGUAAAUAUAUCUGGUCGAGAUGCAAAGUUUGUGUCAUGAAUCUUAAGGAACUCCUUUGCAACAUCUGAUGAAGAGACAAUGAUAUGUGGAAUCUGACCGAAUUGUAAGUGCAUGAACGGACCGUGCUUCUUGGCGAGAUCUCGGAAGACUCGAGGAAUGUGGUCGUCGCCUGAAAGAAAUAUGUUAUGAAGAUUGCCAAUGAUGGGAAGCUUAGUUGGUCCUGGUGGUAGUCUUUUGGUGUUUUUCAUCUUAAUUAGAAUGAAAAUCCCCAAUGGUAAGAACAAAGAAAAGACUAAUGACCAUGAUGGGAAUUGAAGCUCCAUUGCGCUUAUCUUUAAUUUGUGUGCAAUAUCAUCCAAUAUUUAUAAAAUAUUAGUGUUCCAAAAUUGUAAAAUAUUUCCCACAAGUUAUUCAAGCCUGAAAUUUGAGAUUUUUUUUUUAAAUUCUAACACAAUGAUAUGACUACUAUAAUAAUGAUAAGUCCAGAGUUCGAAUCUUAAUUUAUACAUUUUUACUUAAAUUUACCUGAUAAUAUAUUAUAUGAAUCUAAUAUAUCAUCUGAAGAUUGACAGUUUUACAUCUAUAAAGAGGUAUCUUCAAAAUAAACUUUGCAUACUUUUCAAGAUAAACUUUGAAUAAUUCAUCCAUUUUAAUUUUCAAGAUAAACUUUGCAUACUUUUCAAGAUAAACUUUGAAUAAUUCAUCCAUUUUAAUUUUCAAGAUAAACUGAAAAAAAUCAUUAAAAUAAAUAAAAUCAUAAAACCGAUUUUUUUUAAUUUAUGCACAAAAAAAAAAUUUUAAGGUAAAAAUCCAAAACAAAUUUAAAAGAGUAAUGGUUUGUCAAACCAAAUAUUAGUCUUCCAAAAUUGUAAAAUAUUUCCCACAAGUUAUUCAAAUGAAAGGAGCAAGCCUGAAAUUUGAAUGGCUACUAAUAUUCAAGCCUGAAAUUUGAGAAUUUUUUUUUUAAAUUCUAACACAAUGAUGUGACUACUAUAAUAAUGAUAAGUUCAGAGUUCGAAUUUUAAUUUGUACAUUUUUACUUAAAUUUACCUGAUAAUAUAUUAUAUGAAUCUGAUAUAUCAUCUGAAGAUUGACAGUUUUACAUCUAUAAAGAGGUAUCUUCAAAAUAAACUUUGCAUACUUUUCAAGAUAAACUUUGUGUAAUUCAUCCAUUUUAAUUUUCAAGAUAAACUUUGCAUACUAUUCAAAUAAAAUAUCAUGAAUAAUUCAAUAUUGACAGGGAAUCAAGUGAGAAAAAAAUCAUUAAAAUAAAUAAAAUCAUAAAACCGAUUUUUUUUAAUUUAUGCACAAAAAAAAAAAUUAAGGUAAAAAUCCAAAACAAAUUUAAAAGAGUAAUGGUUUGUCAAACCAAAUAUAAAAGAGUUGCGACCCACAUCAUUGUAAAUACCUGCAUUAAACUGAGAUGUGUGAAACUUUUACUGUUCACAAGCUUCUGCCUAAAACGUAAGAAUAUAGAAUAUGCAAACUUUAGAGUAGUUAAUAAUACAAGCCAAUGUUAAUCAUAUGUUUAAAAAGAAAUUAAUUUAACAGAUUGAAUAAAAAGGCUCUCUGACGUUAUUGAAUGGCCAUAAAACAAUGAAAAAUGGAUGUAGACAAAGGAUCCUUGGUGUAUUCCGUUGACACUUUUGUAAACUGAGCCUCCUUUCAACAAUCAGGAUUUACAUGCAGCAAUUCGAUUAUCAUCGAAUGCCAACUGCUUUGACAAUAUGCUUUUACACAUCCUACAUUGGCGAUGACUGGUGUCGGUUGAUUUCCCUACUGAGAUGAAAAGCUGAAAAACAUUCCUACGAAUGAUAGUGUCCAUCUUGAAAAGGAAGGUGGACGAACACCCAGAGAAUUGGGCGGACAAGAUCCCCGAGACCAUGUGGGCGUAUCGCACGACCAUCCGAACCCCCACAGGCCAGACACCGUUCGCCCUCGCAUUCGGAAUCAAGGCAGUCGCACCAGCCGAACUUGUAUGGCCAACGGCUCGAAUCGAGCAGUUCCAGCCAGGAGCGAACAACCAAGCACUGCUCUUAGAGAACGAGUGUCUGGAGCACCGAAGAGAGGAGGCGUCCAUCAGGGACCUCACGUAUAAGCGAAGGGUGGCGAGGUAACACAACGAGAGCUAGGGUAUCCGAGAAGAACCUGGCGCAGGGCGACCUCGUACUAAGAAACGUCAAAGUGAUCGACGGGGGUGGAUCAGACGAAGGGGAAGCUAUCGGCAAGAUGGGAAGGCCCGUACGUCAUCAUGGACGAAAUUCACCCGGGCAUCUUCCGCCUAGAAUACGAAGAUGGGCAGGAGAUAGAAAGGACGUGGCACGCCGACAACCUAGAAAAGUAUAGGCGGUGAGGACCGGGGCACCACGCGGGUUCUAUCUUUCUUUUGAUUUUGUUUCUCCCUUUGUAUGUAACAUAUCCGACCACGGCACAUGAUGCCUAAUGAAAUGCACCCAGAGUGCCCCCAUUAAUCAAAAAGCACCCGACUUCCAGACUAAGAGCAAAGAAGUAAAAAAAGGGAGCCCGCCGAAAAGGCCAGCAGAAGGUUCCCAAGGUCGGAAGACCGUGCGGGAACGUUCGAACGGCCCAGGCCGCUCCUCGAAGGAAAACGCGCAAUAAGUAAGAAUGGGAAAACGAUACAUUGUGAAAAAGAAAAAAACUCUAAGUGUCGAAAAGGGAGGCAACGCCCGAUCCCCCGUGGCAUAGGCGAGUUGGGAACGAAGGAGCAAAAACAAGGGGGCCCGUUGAAAAGGCCAGCCGAGGUUUCCCGAGGUCGGAAGACCGCGUGGGAGCGCUCGGACAGCCCAGGCCGCCCCCCGAAGGGAAACAUACAACGAGUAGGACAACGAAAAGGAUAUAUUGCGAAAGAAAGAGAAAGAGAAAACAAGCAUCCAAAAUAACGAAAAAAAUUCUAAAUGUCAGAAUGUGUUUAACGAGCGGAAAGCAAAAAAUACACGGCCGAACGAAAGACCACAACAAUCUGAAAAGGGCUCGGUGUACUCAGGGAAAUCGGCUUCGAGGUUUUCUUCUUCACCGUCACUCGCAUCCACGGUGGGCUGAUAAUUGGGGACGCCCGCAGCCUGCCAAUUCUCCCAGUCACGGACGCUUCGAGGCACGACAAGAUCCUCAAGGGGGGAUGAAUGAGGGCACACAUCUUCCGCCUUUCCAUAAGCUGGCGCGUUUUGAGUCUUGGAGCUGAGUCGUAUGAUCUGAUUUCAUCUCCUCCAGACACUCCUCGAAGGUGGGCACGAAUGACGCCACGAAUUCGUCUUGGGCAGCAGUCACGGCGGAAUGAAGGGCAGCUUUGGCUGCGACGGCACGGUCUCUUUCCUCCUAGGCUGCUUUCGAAGCCUCCGCAACCAGCUGAUCCUGCUCCCGCAUGACGGCAUCCCAUUGCGCUGACAUAUCGUCGACCUGUGCGCACAGAUUUUGGAUCUCUUCGUCUUGGCAGAGGCCAUGCUGCAAACGGACCUUGGUGAGAACCGAGAGCUGGAGCAUCUGGUGAUUGAGGUCACGGUCGAUAUCCGAAGGGGCGCGAUUGAGCUGCCGUACGUACUCCUCUUCCGUCCGCAGCCAGGAGUCGAUGGACGAGAGUUUCUUCUUAAAAAUCCCACCGAGGCGGGGCACGAAGGAGGAGGGGUCGACGCCGGCAGCGAACUCGGACGAGUGCUCGCAAUUCUUCACGAACACAUAGAAGAGGUCGGGAUUCAGCCCAUCCUUCAGAAGAGUGGCUUGAAGGUCGUCAGACAGGACGACAGGUCAGGACCGGGGUAGACGCGGUCUCGAACUCCUCAAAUUUCUUUUUCUCAGCCUGAAUCUUCUUCCUUCUCCGUUUUUCAGCCCGGUGGUCUUCAAUUGCAAUGUCGGCCUCAACAUCGGGCUCGUCUUCGGGAUCUCGAGGCGGGGGCGACGGAGGGUGGAACUAGACUUCAAGGGCCCUCUUCUUGUGCGAGCGCUUGGGCGGAUCGUCCCGAGUAUAAUCCACUUCAACUCCAUAUGCUCCGAGUAGCUCCAGGACUGAGCCAACGUCCGAGCAUUCAUGCCCCCACGGCGAUAGAUGUUGAUCAACACUUCGUUCGCAUUUCUCUGCGUCAGAUAAAAAACAAAAAAAAUAACAACAAGUUACAAGUGCGACAGAUAAAAAACAUAGAGAGCGUCAGGGCAUCUCGGGCGCCACACCCACAAAAGCGAGCCCACCAGCCGAGGAGGCACGGGAGUGGGCACGGAUCGCACCAGGGCGGGCCUAACGGCCCGGCUUCAGGGACCCCGACAAGAAAUGGCGCAGGUCAGUAGCCGGAAGGGACGAGGACCCACGGGAGCGCGCGGUGGCCACGCGACUGACGGCGACGGCCAGUAGCCUCAGCAGGAGAAGCCGCAGGAACUGCGAUCGUGAUGUUAGCAUGGAAGGUGUCCGAGGAUCCACGGGAGCCCGAAGCGGCGGCAGGAGCGGCGUCAGGGGGUUCGACAGCAUACCGGCUCGCAAGGAGGUCAGAGCGGCAAUACUGAAAGAGACGGCGGUGGACGUCGAUCAGCACAGCGUUGAGACGUUGGGUCUCUGCCACGUCCACGUGGUUAGGGACGCCGGCGGGCGACAGCAGGCACAUGGCCCACGCGGUGUGCUGAAGCUGCACUUCACGGCCAUACUCUUCAAGGACAUCCUGAAUGUUCAUCACGAAAGAAGGAAAGAAUGAGAAACCAAUGUAGCAAACACCCUAUUUAUAGGAGGGAAGAAAAAGGGAGCAGCUCGAACCUCGAGGAGUCUUUAAGGCUAAUAAAGAGGAGAGGUUGAAGGCCAGGUACGGACGGGAGGUCCCCGGGCUCCGGCCCCUGAGGAGAGGGGGGAAGUAUUGUUGGUACCAUGGACGGCCCCAACGGUUGAUAGACCGAACGAAUAGCCUUCAAGGCCCAGGCGCACAAAUGGGCCCGAAGGAGCAAGUGGGCCGGAGAACCCAUGAGGCCCAGGAGCAAGCAAGAAACACUAUAAAUACCUCCCCUAGUCCAUUAGGGGUCAAGGAGGGGCACUUUCUGGGCUUCCGAAUCACACCCUAGGGGAUCAAGCCAAGGGGAUAAAAGGUCGAGGCCGUCAUGGCCAUGAGCCCACCACGGACGCUGAAAGAAGUCCAGAAGCUGAACAGAAGGGUGACGGCGUUAAGCAGGUUCCUGCCGAGGACGGCGGACCGCUUACGACCGUUCUUCCAAUUGUUGAGGAACCCAGGACCCAAGGUAGUUUGGUCGGACGAAUGCGAGGCGGCCUUCAAGGAACUCAAGCUCCAGCUCUCGAGCCUGCCAAUGCUCCGCCCCCCAGUGAGGGGGAACCUCUUACCAUGUACGUGGCUUGCUCGGACUCGGCCGUCAGCACGGUACUUAUCUCGGAGGCGGAAGGCGGACAGAGGCCAGUAUAUUAUCACUCCCGGUCGCUGCUGGGAGCGGAGGAGAGAUACCCAGAAAUCGAAAGACUGGCCCUAGCGGUGGUCUCGGCAGUCCGGAGGUUGAAACCAUACUUUCACGCCCACACCGUCACGAUCCAAACGGCCUACCCGCUGCUCCAGCUGCUGCAAAAGCCGGACGUCUCGGGAAGACUGACCAAAUGGGCCAUGGAACUUAGCGAAUUCCACUAGUCAUCGUUCCAGCAAGGGCGGUUAAGGGGAAGGCAGUGGCGGACUUCAUGGCCGAGCUAGCCCCGAGGGACGGCGAGAAGACAGACGAGCAGUGGUGGACAACCCAUGUGGACGGGUCGUCCAACAACACAGGCUGCGGCGCGGGGGUCGUGGUAAAAACCCCGACGGGGGAAAAGAUCGAGUAUUCGAUCCAUUUUGAGUUCUGGGCAACCAAUAACGCAACGGAAUACGAAGCCCUCCUAUCGGGAGUCAGGCUAACGCGCGCGUUGGGCGCGUCCAGGGUGCACUUCCACACGGACUCCCGGCUGGUAGCCAACCAAGUCAGAGGGGACUUCGUAUCUAAGAAAGACUCAAUGGCGAGCUAUGUGACCGAAGCAAGAGCGGCCCUGGGCAAGCUCGAAGAAUGGAAGAUCUCCCAGAUAGGGAGAGAGAGCAACGGGGAGGCCGACACGCUGGCCAAGCUGAGAGCGUCCCCAGGAAAAACAGAAGGAAGGUAGAUCCGAAUCGAGAACCAGGAGCGGCCAACGACAGCCAGCAGUCCCAAGUCGACCGGGGUGUGCGGCAUAAUAACGUCGGGGGAUUGGAGAACACCAAUCAGGAGAUUCAUCGAGGCAGGCGAAGUGCCAGCGGAUCCGAUGGAGGCCAGGAAGCUAAGAAACAGAGCAGCCUGGUUCGUGGUGGCCCAAAGCAGGCUAUACCGACGAUCAGCGGCGGAGGAGGCCCCCCUGCGACUGUGCGUCUUGCGGGAGGACGGGAAAGCCAUCGCACGAAGCCUUCACGAAGGGGCAAGCGGAGCGCACCAAGGCGGAAGAGCGUUGGAAAAGUAGGUAGCCAGGCAAGGCUACUACUGGCCCGAAUCAAUAAAGGAUUCGGAGGAGAUCGUCGACCGGUGCGACGAAUGUCAGAGGCACUCGAACGUCCAGAGGCGGCCGUCCACCAUGAUGAAGGCCGUAGCAACACCGGUCCCAUUCGCAAGGGGAUUGACAUAGUCGGGCUGUUCCCGCCGGCGUCAAGAGAAAGGAAGUUCCUAUUUAUAGCGGUCGACUAUUUCACAAAGUGGGCCGAGGCGGAGGCCACGAACACAAUCAAUGAACAAAACGUGGUAAACUUCGUCUUCAGAAGCAUCGUCUCCCGGUUCGGGGUCCCGAUCCAGAUAGUAACGGAUAACGGGACGCAGUUCACGGGCAAGAAGUUAAGAGAAUUCUGCGAAGACAGUGGAAUCAAGCUGAGCUUCGCGCCAGUAUACCACCCGCAGGUGAACGGGCAAGUGGAGGUCACGAACCGGACGAUAACAUCGAUCCUGAAGAGGAAAGUGGGCGAACACCCGGGGAACUGGGCGGACCUAAUUCCCGAGACUAUGUGGGCAUACCGCACGACCAUCCGAACCCCCACGGGCCAGACCCCAUUCGUCCUCGCUUUCGGGGUGGAGGCGAUAGCACCGGCCGAAUUGGUAUGGCCGACCGCGCAUAUCGAGCAAUACCAACCAGGGGCGAACGAUCAAGCGAUGUUCCUAGAAAGGGAGCACCUAGAGGGCCGGAUAGAGGAGGCGUCCAUCAGGGACCUCACUUACAAACGAAGGGCGGCGAGGUAUCACAACGAAAGAGUGGCCGACAAGAACCUGGCGUCAGGUUAUCUGGUGUUGAGAAACGCCAAAAUAACAGGAAUCGACCAGACAAAUGGGAAGUUGUCGGCAAGAUGGGAAGGCCCGUACGUCAUCAUGGACGAAAUUCACCCAGGCAUCUUCCGCCUAAGAUAUGAGGAUGGGCAAGAAAUCGAAAGAACGUGGCACGCCGACAACCUGGAAAAGUACAGGCGGUGAAGCAACGUGUCCGAGACCGGCGAAAGAGUUCUUUUUCUUUUUUCUUCCUUGUCUCGUUUCCCCCCUUCCCAUGUAACGUCGGGCACCCCCCCGACCACGGCACGCGAUGCCCAGUAAAACGCACCCGGAGUGCACCCAUUGUAAAAGGAAAAAAUGAGAAGUAAAAAAUUGGGGGAGCCCGCCGAAAAGGCUAACGGAAAGCUCUCAGGGUCAGGAGACCGCAUGAGACCAUCCGGAUGGCCCAGGCCGCUCCCUCAAAAAAUGGAAAAAACGCAAUAAGUAAGAACGCGAAAGCGAUAUGUUGCGAGGCAAGGAAAAAGCAGGGGAGCCGCCGAAAAGGCUAACGGAAAGUCCUAAGAGCCAAAAGGCUGCAUGGGAACGUCCGAAUGGCCUAGGCCGCUCCUCCCAAGAAAGAAAGCAAUUGAAGUAAGAGAGAAGUUUAGCGUGGAAAAGGACCGGCCGGGACGUUCCUAGCCAGCAAGCUACGCAGAGCACCUAAACGAGCGACAACGCCACCCAGAAAGGACAGGGGCGGUGAGUAAACGAACGCGGAAGGAGAAAAGGUCAGAAGAAGAAGAACAGAGGGCGAUUGAAUACAUUCAAGAUUUACGAAUGAAUAUAAAAACGAAAAAAAGUUAAGUGUUUUUACAUUACAAAGAAAAAGAAGAAAAUAAAAACUGUUCAGGGACGAACGAAGGGUAUUCGAGGGGAGGCUCGGUGUAAUCAGGAAAGUCGGCCUCAAGGUCCUGCUCCUCGCUUUUGCUCACGUCCAGGGGAGGCUGGUAGGAGGGGACGCUCGUUUUUCUCCAUUCUUCCCAAUCUCGGCGGCUCCGGAGCACGACGCCGUACGAAAGGGGCGAGUAGACGAGUUCACACAUCCGGCGCCCGUGCUGAUAGCCCUUCCAGAAGCCGGCACGUUUGGAGUCCUUCAUCAAGAUGGCGUGGUCCUGCUUCAGCUCCGCCAAACGGUCUUCGAAGGUUAGAACAAAGCCCUUAAUGAACUCGUCCUGAGCCACAGCCACGGCGGCGACAAGAGCGUCCUUCGCAACAGUGGCCCGAACCUUCUCCUCCGCGGCAGCCCGGCAAACAUCAGCGGCCAGAAGGUCCCGUUCACGCACGACCGCCUCCAGCUGACCCUUCACCGCGGCAAGCUCGGCGUGCAUCUGCUGAACCUCCUCGUUCUACCGAAGACCCUGCUCCAACCGAACCUUGGUGAGAACCGAAAGUUGAAGCAUCUUGUGGUGCAGGUCGCGGUCGAGGUCCGACGUUGGGCGCGAAAGCAGCCGAACGUACUCAUCCUCCGGCUCCAACCAGGAAUCAAUGUCGGGGAGUUUUUUCUUGAAAAUCCCGUCGAGACGGGGCAGGGAGGACGCAGAGUCGACGGGAGCGGAGAAGUCCAUCGAGUGUUCAAUGCUCCGUACGAAGGAGCGGAAGUGUUCAGGAUCCAAUCCAUCUUUCCGGAGAGAAUCCAGAAGCUCGGCAGACAGGGGGUCAGAGCGGCUGGGUUCAGAGGAGCCUAUGUUUUCCACCACGACCGCGCAUCUCCAGGGCAUCGGCGACAGACUUUCGUUUCGCGGACCAAAUCUUUUUCCGUCGUCGUCGUUCGGCCCGGCUGUCUCGAAGGCCAGUGUCAGACUCGGCCGGGACGUCACCCUCGGCUCCGAGAUCGCACGAAGGCGGGGACUCAAACUGAAUGGCGUCGUGCGGCCGUUUCUGUUUCUGACGUUUGGGCGGCCCGUCCCGAGCGUAAGAUGUCUUGACGGGCAGAGCCAGGUGUGCGUCAUAACUCCACGACUGGGCCAGUGUCCGGGCGUUGACGGCCCCGCGGCGAUAGAUCUCGGUAAAAACCUCAUGGGCGCAUAAUGCCUGGGGCGCCAACGCGUCUCGGCCAGGGGCGGCGGUCCGAGUCUUCAGCUGGGUCAGCAGAGCCCAGCGAGAGGGGAGAGGCGCCUCCGGAUCUGACGGACCAAGGGCGCCCACGGGGACGAAGAAGAACCGGUCCCGCCAGUGGUGUGAUCGGUCGACCAGUUGGUCGAAGAGGGCACCGGCCGAUCUUCGCCAGAGCAUCCCGGAUCACGUCGGCUCCAACCGUGGAUAGAGGGUUCUUGCUGGAGGGGGCGGCAAAAAACGAUUCUGCAAGAGCAGCGCCGGCGUCAGAGCGAGAAGCGGCAGCGGAGCCAGCGGCAGAGGGAGGAGGAGCAGCCAUUAGCAACCUGGUGAAGGAAGGGAGUCGGAGUCGAGGAAGACGAAAAGCGAGGUGAGAGGAAAUGAAAAUCAGUCGCGAGUGAAGAAGGGGAGCAGGGUUUAUAUAAGGGUUCGAGGGCGCGGAAGACGAGGCGUCGCUUACCUGGAACGGAUGGGACCGGUUGGGCCGGGAGGCCUCCGAGGGAGCCCAAGGUCCUGUCCGUCGGGAAGCAGAGUGAAGGUCAGCGCCCGUCGCGGACGGCAAGGCGUUGGAGAGACGCCCGGCGAAGACCCGGCGGCGUCCAGCGACCAAACAAUGCGCGCGGAGCGAGGCGGCAGUGUCCAAGCAGGCCCACCGGCGGGCCCGACCAAUGGAUCGAACGAAACGACGUAACGGGCGAGCCCCCGCGUCGGCGAAGGGGGGACCCGCGGUGGGGAGCGAGGGCAGAGCUCAAGAAGGGCCCGGGCAACGUCGGCAGAAGACGCCGAAUAGCGCAAAGCUGCACCAACGUGCGAAGGCGAAGUCAAAACACGAGAGAAAGAAAAAGCGAAGGAAAAGCAUGUAUUAAAGCAAAGCAAGUGUUACAAUAGCCGGUGGCACGGAGGGAGAACAAAACAUAACAACAACGAAGUACGGGUACAGAAAAAAAGAGGAAAAGGGAUCGCCGGGACGUCCCAGACGUCGCCCCACGAAGGCAAACCCAUAGCCUGAAAAGGCGUGGGAGCGAUUGCGGAUAGCUCCACGAUGGGCCUAGCGGGCCGGCUUCGAUGACCCCGACAGGAAGUGGCGCAGGUCAGUAGCCGGAAGGGACGAAGACCCACGGGAGCGGCGAGGGCCGCGUGACCGACGAGGCUUUCUCAAAAAAUCGGCAGCAGCAGCGACAGCAGGAACGGCGAUCGUACCAUGCGCGUUGAAGGCGCGCGAGGUACCAACGGAGCCCGGGACGGCGGCAGGAGAGGCAUCGGGGUAGGCGACGGCAGGAGGGCUCGCGAGGAGGUCGGAGCGGCGAACCUGGGAGAGGCGACGGUGGACGUCGAUCUGCAAAGCGUUGAGACGUUGAGUCUCAGCCACGGUCACGCUAUUAAGGACGCCAGCGGGCGACAACAGGCACAUGGCCCAGGCGGCGUGCUGAAGUUGCACUUCGCGGCCGUACUCCUCGAGGAUGUUUUGAACACUCAUGGCGAAGGAAGGAUGGUGUGAGAAGUCGAAGAGGCGAGUGGGCUAUUUAUAGGAAGGAGAAGAGGGAGCGGCUCGAACAUCGAGGAGCUUUAAAGGAGAUGGUUGUAGGCGGGGCGAGGACGGGCGGCCCCUGGGCCCGGGCCCGUCGAGGAAGGGGGGAGUACUGUUGGUACCAUGGACCGCGGACCGCGGCCCAUGGACCGAACUGGGCCGAUCGGCGGCUCGGGCGAACGGGCGGGCCCAACGUACGAGCCCACGAGGCCCUAAGGACAGCAGUGGAAGGCUAUAAAUACCUCCCCUGGUUCAAUAGGGGAGGCGGUUGAUAAUUCUAAGAGUGAUACUUGUACUAAGGUUGGACGGCGAGCUUACUCCGGCGAGCCCACACACCAACAUGUGUAUAUAUAUAUAUAACCGAAUAGCUCAUUAAUUGGGUUUAAUCCAUCUAAUUUAAUUAACCCACCAACUUAAUUUUUUUUUAAGGCGAUUUUUAUAAAAUAAAAUUAAAAGAGUACAAAGGAUAAAAAAAACAUAAUGAUAAACGAAAAAAAACUGAAAACAUAGCGUGAAUCUCCAUCGUGUCUAUCUAUGACUAGCUUCGGAUCGUGUUUUCAGUUGAAAUAACUCAUGCCUGAAACUUUUAGAACCUUUAGAGAGUUUCAAUACUUGUCUUCACUUGUCUUCAUCUUUUUCUAUCCCUGCAACUGUCAUCUUUUUCUUCAAUCAUCUUUCCCAUCUAGUAACACAUCACAUUUCCUCUUCCAUUUCCUAGAUUGCAUUUGUCAUCUAACGAUAUAACCUCCUGAUUUCCCUUCUAGAUUAAAUCCCUAGUUUUUCAUCCUCAAACGGGAAGAAAAUUGGUUAAAUCUGAAAGUAACUCAGAACGAAAUCGAAAAAGCUUCUUGAUCUGCGGGCGAGGCCAUACAGCGACAAGGAGAAGUGGCGAGAAGUUUUCUUUCCCUCCUCUGCACCCGAAAAGGAGCAACGGAAUCACGAUCAUAAAAGAAAUGAGAAAAAAUCGAAUAAGUUUCAGGAGGCAAAAAACAAGUGGAGAGAUAAGGAGUUGCGGGUGAGGAUCUAAGACGACGAUCUACAAUGGAGAAGGAAAACGGUGAAAAAAGGGAAGAAGAAAAAGCUUGUCUCCCCCCCCCCUCUCUUUUGAGAAAGGAACCCACCAACUUAAUUAUUAUCGAUUCAACUUUGUAGUUAUAUAUGAUUCAAUAAAAAAAUAUAAUAAUAAAAAUGAUUGCUAUAACAAUUUUUUGAUGGAGAAAAUGAGGAAAUUUUUAGGCCAAAACCACACACAAUAUAUAUACUAGUAUUAAAUAUUUAAUUUGUAGGAAAUACAGGUAUCAAUAUGAGUGGAUGUUUCCUACAUAAAGUUCCUUUAACACAUUCAGUCAUGUCAAGCUCUUCUCCCGGCACACCGUCUGGUAUCUUCCAAUUGAAAUGAUAUAGAAUGGUAGCAAGAAAAAGUUCAACAUUAGCUAGGGCAAAUGUUAUACCAGGACAAAUUCUUUUUCCAGAACCAAAUGGAAUUAAAUCAAAGUGGGAUCCUUUGAAAUCUAUUGGAUUUCCCAUGAACCUCUCUGGUUUGAAUACUUCUGGAUUUUCCCAUUUGUUUGGAUCUCGUCCUAUCGCCCAAGCAUUCACAAGGAUGCUUGUCUUUUCUUCUACAUCAUAAUCAUUUAUUUGACAUUUCUCCCUACAUUCAUGAGCGAGAAGUGGCACAGGUGGAUGGAGCCUCAAGGUUUCUUUGAUGACGUUUUGCAUGUAGCUCAUUUCCUUGCUAAAAGAAUUAUCAUAAUCAUCAGCUUCUGUACCGAUUAUUUUAAAGGUUUUUCUCACCUCAAAUGUCACUUUCUUCAUGGUUUCUGGAUUUUUCACCAACUCAGAUAUUACCCAUUCUAGUGUUGUGGAAGUUGUUUCUGUUCCCGCAAUAAAAAUGUCCUAAAAAUACCAAUUGAAAAAUGAUUUAUGGAGUUUCAAGGAAAUACGUACAUAUAGAUCGACUUUAAUUUUGAGUUAUAAAAAAUGAUCAACUUACCAACAAUACCGCCUUCAAAUUAUUCAUAGUAAAUUCAAAGCCAGAUUCAUUUUUCUUUUGAAUUUUGAGAAGAAUAUCAAGAAAAUCUUCAUCAUCAUCUGCUACCCCAUUUUUGUUAUUUUUUGAUUUCUCA
RNAcentral lists this long non-coding RNA (14023 nucleotides) under Zostera marina. RNAcentral's name for it is "long non-coding RNA (ZMAR_LNC000691)". Lineage: Eukaryota; Viridiplantae; Streptophyta; Magnoliopsida; Alismatales; Zosteraceae. The record is from RNAcentral.